Molecule: ribosomal RNA, 500 nt
Filed under: uncultured bacterium
Lineage: Bacteria
Description: partial 16S ribosomal RNA
Rfam family: Bacterial small subunit ribosomal RNA
Source: RNAcentral
AUUGAACGCUGGCGGAAUGCUUUACACAUGCAAGACGAACGGCAGCACGGACUUCGGUCUGGUGGCGAGUGGCGAACGGGUGAGUAAUGUAUCGGAACGUGCCCAGUCGUGGGCGAUAACGUAGUGAAAAUUACGCUAAUACCGCAUACGAUCUAUGGAUGAAAGCGGGGGAUCGCAAGACCUCGCGCGAUUGGAGCGGCCGAUAUCAGAUUAGGUAGUUGGUGGGGUAAAGGCCCACCAAGCCAACGAUCUGUAGCUGGUCUGAGAGGACGACCAGCCACACUGGAACUGAGACACGGUCCAGACUCCUACGGGAGGCAGCAGUGGGGAAUUUUGGACAAUGGGCGAAAGCCUGAUCCAGCCAUUCCGCGUGCAGGAUGAAGGCCCUCGGGUUGUAAACUGCUUUUGUACAGAACGAAAAGGUUUCUACUAAUACUAGGAGCUCAUGACGGUACUGUAAGAAUAAGCACCGGCUAACUACGUGCCAGCCGCCGCAGUAA